UCCGGUUUGUCACCGGCGGUCUCCUUAGAGUUCCCACCAUUACGUGCUGGCAACUAAGGACAAGGGUUGCGCUCGUUGCGGGACUUAACCCAACAUCUCACGACACGAGCUGACGACAGCCAUGCAGCACCUGUGUUCGAGUUCCCGAAGGCACCAAUCCAUCUCUGGAAAGUUCUCGACAUGUCAAGGCCAGGUAAGGUUCUUCGCGUUGCAUCGAAUUAAACCACAUACUCCACCGCUUGUGCGGGCCCCCGUCAAUUCCUUUGAGUUUCAGUCUUGCGGCCGUACUCCCCAGGCGGAACACUUAACGCGUUGGCUGCGGCACAGAAGGGGUCGAUUCCUCCUACAGCAAAUGCGCACCGUUUAGGGCCGGGACUAC
RNAcentral lists this unclassified non-coding RNA (379 nucleotides) under uncultured Lysobacteraceae bacterium. Its description in RNAcentral is "uncultured Xanthomonadaceae bacterium contains 16S-23S intergenic spacer region". Lineage: Bacteria; Pseudomonadati; Pseudomonadota; Gammaproteobacteria; Lysobacterales; Lysobacteraceae. The record is from RNAcentral.